Molecule: ribosomal RNA, 207 nt
Filed under: uncultured bacterium
Lineage: Bacteria
Description: partial 16S ribosomal RNA
Rfam family: Bacterial small subunit ribosomal RNA
Source: RNAcentral
CGUGUAGGUGGAUCGUUAAGUCGGGGGUGAAAUCCCGGGGCUCAACCCCGGAACUGCCUUCGAUACUGGCGAUCUUGAGGGUGAGAGAGGCGAGUGGAAUUUCGAGUGUAGCAGUGAAAUGCGUAGAUAUUCGAAGGAACACCAGUGGCGAAGGCGACUCGCUGGCUCACUACUGACACUGAGAUGCGAAAGCGUGGGGAGCAAACA